Molecule: ribosomal RNA, 442 nt
Filed under: Sphingobium yanoikuyae
Lineage: Bacteria; Pseudomonadati; Pseudomonadota; Alphaproteobacteria; Sphingomonadales; Sphingobiaceae
Description: bacterial SSU rRNA
Rfam family: Bacterial small subunit ribosomal RNA
Source: RNAcentral
AUCUUCGGAUCUAGUGGCGCACGGGUGCGUAACGCGUGGGAAUCUGCCCUUGGGUUCGGAAUAACUUCUGGAAACGGAAGCUAAUACCGGAUGAUGACGUAAGUCCAAAGAUUUAUCGCCCAAGGAUGAGCCCGCGUAGGAUUAGCUAGUUGGUGGGGUAAAGGCCCACCAAGGCGACGAUCCUUAGCUGGUCUGAGAGGAUGAUCAGCCACACUGGGACUGAGACACGGCCCAGACUCCUACGGGAGGCAGCAGUAGGGAAUAUUGGACAAUGGGGGAAACCCUGAUCCAGCAAUGCCGCGUGAGUGAUGAAGGCCUUAGGGUUGUAAAGCUCUUUUACCCGGGAUGAUAAUGACAGUACCGGGAGAAUAAGCUCCGGCUAACUCCGUGCCAGCAGCCGCGGUAAUACGGAGGGAGCUAGCGUUGUUCGGAAUUACUGGGC